This 449-nucleotide ribosomal RNA is filed under the name uncultured bacterium. Its description in RNAcentral is "bacterial SSU rRNA". It matches the Rfam family "Bacterial small subunit ribosomal RNA", at positions 29 to 524 of the family's 1533-position model. The record is from RNAcentral.
AACGAACGCUGGCGGCAUGCCUAACACAUGCAAGUCGAACGAGACCUUCGGGUCUAGUGGCGUACGGGUGCGUAACGCGUGGGAAUCUGCCCUUGGGUUCGGAAUAACAGUUAGAAAUGACUGCUAAUACCGGAUAAUGUCUUCGGACCAAAGAUUUAUCGCCCAAGGAUGAGCCCGCGUAGGAUUAGCUAGUUGGUGAGGUAAAGGCUCACCAAGGCGACGAUCCUUAGCUGGUCUGAGAGGAUGAUCAGCCACACUGGGACUGAGACACGGCCCAGACUCCUACGGGAGGCAGCAGUGGGGGAUAUUGGACAAUGGGGGCAACCCUGAUCCAGCAAUGCCGCGUGAGUGAUGAAGGCCUUCGGUUGUAAAGCUCUUUCACCCACGACGAUGAUGACGGUAGUGGGAGAAGAAGCCCCGGCUAACUUCGUGCCAGCAGCCGCGGUAAU